GUUGUAUGGUUAAGUGACUAAGCGUACACGGUGGAUGCCUGGGCAGUCAGAGGCGAUGAAGGACGUACUAACUUGCGAUAAGCGCAGAUAAGGCAGUAAGAGCCGUUUGAGUCUGCGAUUUCCGAAUGGGGAAACCCAACUGCAUAAGCAGUUACUGUUAACUGAAUACAUAGGUUAACAGAGCAAACCGGGGGAACUGAAACAUCUAAGUACCCCGAGGAGAAGAAAUCAACCGAGAUUCCGGUAGUAGCGGCGAGCGAACCUGGAUUAGCCCUUAAGCACUCGGUGAAGUAGGUGAACAAGCUGGAAAGCUUGGCGAUACAGGGUGAUAGCCCCGUAACCGACGCUUCAUCGAGCGUGAAAUCGAGUAGGGCGGGACACGUGAUAUCCUGUCUGAAUAUGGGGGGACCAUCCUCCAAGGCUAAAUACUCCUGACUGACCGAUAGUGAACCAGUACCGUGAGGGAAAGGCGAAAAGAACCCCUGUGAGGGGAGUGAAAUAGAACCUGAAACCGUGUACGUACAAGCAGUAGGAGCACCUUCGUGGUGUGACUGCGUACCUUUUGUAUAAUGGGUCAGCGACUUAUAUUCAGUGGCAAGGUUAACCGUAUAGGGGAGCCGUAGCGAAAGCGAGUCUUAACUGGGCGCUCAGUCUCUGGAUAUAGACCCGAAACCGGGUGAUCUAGCCAUGGGCAGGUUGAAGGUUGAGUAACAUCAACUGGAGGACCGAACCGACUAAUGUUGAAAAAUUAGCGGAUGACUUGUGGCUAGGGGUGAAAGGCCAAUCAAACUCGGAGAUAGCUGGUUCUCCCCGAAAGCUAUUUAGGUAGCGCCUCGGACGAAUACUACUGGGGGUAGAGCACUGUUAAGGCUAGGGGGUCAUCCCGACUUACCAACCCUUUGCAAACUCCGAAUACCAGUAAGUACUAUCCGGGAGACACACGGCGGGUGCUAACGUCCGUCGUGGAGAGGGAAACAACCCAGACCGCCAGCUAAGGUCCCAAAGUAUUGCUAAGUGGGAAACGAUGUGGGAAGGCUCAGACAGCUAGGAUGUUGGCUUAGAAGCAGCCAUCAUUUAAAGAAAGCGUAAUAGCUCACUAGUCGAGUCGGCCUGCGCGGAAGAUGUAACGGGGCUAAGCAAUACACCGAAGCUGCGGCAAUGUCUUUUAGACAUUGGGUAGGGGAGCGUUCUGUAAGCCGUUGAAGGUGAAUCGUAAGGUUUGCUGGAGGUAUCAGAAGUGCGAAUGCUGACAUGAGUAACGACAAAGGGGGUGAAAAACCUCCUCGCCGGAAGACCAAGGGUUCCUGUCCAACGUUAAUCGGGGCAGGGUGAGUCGACCCCUAAGGUGAGGCCGAAAGGCGUAAUCGAUGGGAAACGGGUUAAUAUUCCCGUACUUCUGACUAUUGCGAUGGGGGGACGGAGAAGGCUAGGUGGGCCAGGCGACGGUUGUCCUGGUUCAAGUGCGUAGGCUUGAGAGUUAGGUAAAUCCGGCUCUCUCUAAGGCUGAGACACGACGUCGAGCUACUACGGUAGUGAAGUCAUUGAUGCCAUGCUUCCAGGAAAAGCCUCUAAGCUUCAGAUAGUCAGGAAUCGUACCCCAAACCGACACAGGUGGUCGGGUAGAGAAUACCAAGGCGCUUGAGAGAACUCGGGUGAAGGAACUAGGCAAAAUGGUACCGUAACUUCGGGAGAAGGUACGCUCUUGAUGGUGAAGUCCCUCGCGGAUGGAGCUGACGAGAGUCGCAGAUACCAGGUGGCUGCAACUGUUUAUUAAAAACACAGCACUGUGCAAAAUCGCAAGAUGACGUAUACGGUGUGACGCCUGCCCGGUGCCGGAAGGUUAAUUGAUGGGGUUAGCGCAAGCGAAGCUCUUGAUCGAA
RNAcentral lists this ribosomal RNA (1880 nucleotides) under Vibrio cholerae. RNAcentral's name for it is "bacterial LSU rRNA". It matches the Rfam family "Bacterial large subunit ribosomal RNA", at positions 1 to 1916 of the family's 2925-position model. Lineage: Bacteria; Pseudomonadati; Pseudomonadota; Gammaproteobacteria; Vibrionales; Vibrionaceae. The record is from RNAcentral.